AAACAUAGCAUAAUGAUAUUAUAUUAUGUAGGGCCUGCCCGGUGAAUUUUUAACGGCCGCAGUAUUUUGACUGUGCUAAGGUAGCAUAAUAAGUUGGCUUUUAAUUGAAGUCUUGUAUUAAUGGAUUUAUGGGUAAACACUGUCUUGAUUAGGGUUAUAAAAAAUUACUUUAAAAGGUGAAAAUUCCUUUAUAUUUUAAUUAGACGAGAAGACCCUUGGAGUUUAUUUAACAUGAAAAAUGUAAUAUUUUGUUGGGGCGACAACGUAGCAUUUAACCUACGAUUUUAUAUAGUAUUUAACGAUUUUUAAUAAUAAGAAUUAAACUACCCUAGGGAUAACAGCAUAAUUUUUUAAAAGUUUGUGACCUCGAUGUUGGACUAGGAAAUUUUAACAUUAACAAUGUUAAAAAUUUGUUCUGUUCGAACUUUUGUUCCUACGUGA
This 441-nucleotide ribosomal RNA is filed under the name Tandonia kusceri. Its description in RNAcentral is "partial large subunit ribosomal RNA". It matches the Rfam family "Bacterial large subunit ribosomal RNA", at positions 1811 to 2603 of the family's 2925-position model. The record is from RNAcentral. Lineage: Eukaryota; Metazoa; Mollusca; Gastropoda; Stylommatophora; Milacidae.